UUGCCAGACUCCUACGGGAGGCAGCAGUGGGGAAUAUUGCACAAUGGGGGGAACCCUGAUGCAGCAACGCCGCGUGGGUGAAGAAGUCUUUCGGUAUGUAAAGCCCUAUCAGCAGGGAAGAAGAUGACGGUACCUGACUAAGAAGCCCCGGCUAAAUACGUGCCAGCAGCCGCGGUAAUACGUAUGGGGCAAGCGUUAUCCGGAUUUACUGGGUGUAAAGGGAGCGCAGGCGGCGCGGCAAGUCAGAUGUGAAAGCCCGGGGCUCAACCCCGGGACUGCAUUUGAAACUGCCGUGCUGGAGUGUCGGAGAGGCAAGUGGAAUUCCUAGUGUAGCGGUGAAAUGCGUAGAUAUUAGGAGGAACACCAGUGGCGAAGGCGGCUUGCUGGACGAUAACUGACGCUGAGGCUCGAAAGCGUGGGGAGCAAACAGGAUUAGAUACCCUGGUAAG
Molecule: ribosomal RNA, 449 nt
Filed under: uncultured bacterium
Lineage: Bacteria
Description: bacterial SSU rRNA
Rfam family: Bacterial small subunit ribosomal RNA
Source: RNAcentral